CCCGAAUAGCCAAAGCAAUCUUAAGCAGAAAACAAAUCUGGAGUCAUCACAUUACCAGACUUCAAACUAUGCUACAAGGUUAUGGUAACCAAAACGGCAUGGUGUUGGCACAAAUAUAGAGACAUAGACCAAAUGGAACAGAACAGAGAAUCAGAUAUGAAACCGUCCACAUACAGCUAGGAAGGGGGAGCAGCAGGUCAGUGGUUGGUGAGUGCAGGCUAGCGAAGCUUCAUCUGUAUGUACUGACACUUCCCAUCACUCGCAUCACCACCUGAGCUCAGCCUCCCCUCACUCCCCCAGUGAAAAAAUUGUCUUCUAUGAAACCUGUCCCUAGUGCCAAGAAGGUUGGGGACCACUGGUUUAAAGGAUAUUUUGGAAGAGUAGUAGCCUGGAUAGAAAAAAGUAUUCAAGAAAUAUUAAAUGAAAAGAUAUGUUGCUAAAUAAUAUACUGGGUGAUACCAUUGGCAUUUCUACUGAGAGACACAUUCUUCCCUAAAGAAUGUCGAAUAACAACAAAAAAGAAAUAAACAAGAUAAUUUGGUUUUCAAUAAGUAGUUACUUGUCUUUGGGCUGCCAGACGUCUCCUUGCCUUGCUUCCAGUCUGACUGCAAGUUUUGGAAUCCAAAUUUAGCUCCUGUCCCCCAGGAGCACCUUUGAGGACCAUAAGUUUCCCGGAAAUCCACACCUUGGAGAGCUGGCCCCCCAGAGUGAAAUGGGCACCCCACUCUCUGUGAAUUUGGAGUCAUAUCUUCCUCCUAAAACUUGCUUGUUCUCCUGAUUUAUUCCCAUUGAUUAGUCUUUCCAGAUAAUUGUUUUUUCCAAGGCCUUAUUUUUGUCUCAGCUGUUAUUUCCGUAGCUUGUACUCCAGCUGGAUUUUUUUUUUUUUUUACUGGUCUCUAUAUUAGUUUCCUAGGGUUGCUGUAACAAAUUACCACAAUCUGGGUGGCUUAAAAAAAACAGAAAUUUAUUCUCUCACAGUUCUGGAGGCAGGAAGUUCGAACUCAAGAUGCCAGCAGGCGUGGUUCCUUCUGGGGGCUCCUGGGAGAACCCCUCCUGUGCCCUCUCCUAGCUUCUAGUGCCUGCCAGCAACCCCCGGCCCUCUGUGGCUUGUAGAUGCAUGGUGACGAUCUCUGGCUCUGUUGUCGUAUAGCAAUCUCCUCUUGGUGUGAGUGUGUGUGUCUUCACAUGUCCUCUCCUCCUCUUAUAAGGACAGCAGCCAUGGGAUUUAGAGCCCACCGUAAUCCAGCAGGACCUCAUCUUAACUAGCAACAUCUGCAAAGACCCAAUUUCCAAAUAAGGUUACAUUUUGAGGUUCUGAGCGGACAUGAAAGUUUGGGGGCCACCCUUCAACCCUCUACAGUCUCUCUGCCUUCAGAUCUUUCCAUCCACCCAUCCAUCCCAUGACCCUCUUGGAGUCAUUUUUCUUAAACCUCGCUCAGCAGGAAUACCUCACCCUUGCCUCCAAACCCUUCAGUGUCCACUGUUGACAGAAUAAAGUCCUGCGCUUAGCUCAGCUUUAGUCUGCUCCCAAUGCCCAAUUUUACAUCCCAUUUCUCCACUCUCCUACACACACCCUCCAAUCCCACGGGAAAGGUCUUCUGCGUUGUUGAAUGUGCCGCAAGCACUCUCAGCAUCUGCCCCGUUCUCUGUCCGUUGCUUAGACGCUCUCCUUCUGGAAUAUGCAUUUCAUAUCUUUCCUUGCUCAUAAGAAUGUUCCCACCCAGCCCAGGUUGAAGGGCCUGCAGACUGACACUACCCCACACUGCUGCACACCAUUCCUCGGUCUGGAGCGAUGCCAUCCUCUCCUGGAGUUUACAUUUUACCCAAGGAUGAGCCAAGGACGACCCUGUGUGCUUUGCUUCUUUGGGUCCUUGGAUUUGACCAUGGUGUUUUGAAUCAUGUGGCGUCAUGGCAAAUGAGUUUGUACGUUGCUGCUGGCGUGAGCAUGCUAGCCGGUUGACUGAGACCUGGCAUGCGUAGGCCUAUCAUGAUUGGGUGCAUUAACUGAAGUACUCCAUGCCACGGUGAAUAAAGCAGAUGAAGAGCCCUGUGGGGACAUGAAGCGAGGGGAAAAGGGAGAAUUGUGGCUGCUUUGAGAGUUAGGGUGGUGGUCUUUCAAAGGAAGAAUGAACUGGCAGAAUCACUGCAGGAGAGGCAUAUCCCUGAGGCUGGAUGCCACGAGGCACUGGGCUCAGUAGGAAAAGUAAUGACAUGUUGGGAGGGAAACCACCGCCCUGUCCUUGUGAGGAUCAACUGGGGAACAACGUGGUUGGCAAGGGAUAGAGACUGGAAGGAAAUAAAAGAGGAGAUACACAGUACAGUGCAGUACAACAGACAGGACAGACAUCAACACCUUUCAUUAUUGGCCUUGACAGAUGCUCUGAAAACUUGAAAGUAACCAGGAAGUUUUUAUUCUCAUGAUUAUUAUUAGUGUCUUUUGCUAGCUCUUCCUAAGUGGCAGUGAUUGGCAUCGGCAACUGGCUCUUCAAAUUAUCUCCCAAAGCACCACGUCUCUAUGGGGACACACGAGGGACUUAGUUCACCUGGAAGCAGAUUUCCUCUACAAUUUCUUGCCUCGGGGACUUUGUGCUUUUUUCUGGGGUUAUGCCUCAGCCACGUCAAAGCCCCAUAGGCAUUCCCUGCUGGGAUCAAGAAGUGGCCCACCCAAGAAACAAGAGCGGAGUUAGAAUCAGGGGUGAGAAUUCCAGGUGGGUGCUGCUCAAGGUGUGGGCUCCGGGCUGAGCCCACCGUCCGACGAGCCACAUUCUGUGUUUGAGGUCCCAGGACGAGUGUUCAGUGUUGGAACCUUUGAAGCCACCAGGGUCUUUCCUUGCUGGGUCUUGGCAAUACUUCUUCAUGUCGUGGGUUUAGAAACUCAGGCUAAAGAAUGGACGUGGGGAAGAUUGCCCACCUGUAAAACUGUUUACGGACAGCCUGUAAUUGUAGCUCUGAUCUCGUCCAUCUGACUCAUAACUCUGCAUAUGCUGUCUUACCUGGCUAGAUUUAAAAAAAAAACCAAAACUUAUAUUGUGGAAACAGGAGACUCUCAAGGCUGUUAAAAAUUGCAGUUUCUUGGACAUUCCAUCCAAAAAGUAUGCCUGUUUGCCUUGGGAGGGGAAAAAUUAAAUUUAUUUGUCAGUAUGUCCUCGGUGCAGCACACUUGUUUUCAGGUCCUAAUGACAAUCCUACUCAGGUCCCCCCUCUCCCCUCCAUCCCCCCCACAAAAAAAAGGAACAACUCAAGCUUGAGUUUGUCCCAUCCAUCUAUAUAAAACAUGUACGUGAGUCUGAGAUGCCAUUGUGAGAAUCAGGAAAGGCAGAGGGGGCACAAGGCAAAGGAUGUAUUUAUUGUUCGUGCUUCUGCUCUUAAGCCGUGGUCUUCUCCAGUGCUCCCUGUGACGGGAGGUGUCCCCCGACCUCUGACAGAAGACAAGCAUGAAGAGCGGAGCACUUCGAAAGAAGUAAAACAAGAAAAGAUCCUUCAGUGGCCCAGCGUCCCAGCUGUGACUAAGAAUUAUUCAUUAGAUUUUUUUUUUAAAAAAAAAUGCCCAAACACGCAUGCACGAGCAGGUGGUCCCCACGGGGAGCCCGCCGCCACUGCUCGGGUGUCUGAUGUCACGAGGUGUGCAGGCAGGCGUGGCCGAUCAACAUCGCCCUUCCUGCCGCCUGCUGUCUGCACAGAGCGAGCCCGGGUCACGCCGACUGCAGCCUCGGUUCUGAAACGUGGAGGAUUCCGGGUCGUGGCUUCUGUGUUUCUUUUUCCAACUAGACAGUGAAUUCCUGGCGGGAAAGGAUGACGUCCCCUUGUCUUUGAGCCCCCAGGGACCGGCUCGGUCCCAGGCACCGUGAGAACGCUCGGAAAACGUUUCGUUGUUUUUGAAUGGUGGUGAUUUAAAAAUGGCAAGGCUUUUCUGCAAAUUAGAGGACGUUACAGUCGUGUGUUUCUUUGGAGCAUACGAGUAUUUGAAAUGAGGCCGCGCCGGGACUGGGAUCCUGACCCCGCAGUGGUGCUGGCGCCGGUGGGCGCUGUGACUCGGAGCCAGAGGAUGAGGAGGAGGAUGAGGAGGAGGAGGAGGAGGAUGAGGAGGAGGAGUGUGGCGAGCAGAGUGCAGCCGACGGAAAUGCUGGUGUGGAUUAGUUCCCUGCGGCUGCUGUAACAAAUUACCACAAGACGAACGGGUUAAAACAACACAAAUUUAUUAUCUUACAGUUCUGGAGGCCAGAAGUCCAAACUGUGUCUCACCGGACUAAAAUCAAAGUGUCGGCGAGGCCACGCUCCCUCACGAGGGUCUAGCCGGGGCAGAACCACCUUCUUGCCUUUGCCGUUUCUAGAGCCCCCUGCCUCCGUUGGCUCCAGGCCCCUUCCUGCAUCUUCAAAGUCAGCAUCUUCAAACUAGUCUCUGACUCUGACCACUUCUCUGCCUUCCUCUCUCACCUGUAAGGGCCCUUGUGGUUACCAAAGGCUCACCCGGGGAACCCGGAUAAUCUCCCAUCUCGAGGUUAAUCUGUGAGCAAGCCAAAUUCCACCUGCAACUUUAAUUCCCCCUUGCCACGUGACAUAACAUAUGCACAGGUUCUAGGGAGCAGGACAUGGACAUCUUUGGUGGGGGCAUUAUUUUGUUUACCCCAGAGGAGCACUCAGGGGCGUCCUCCUUUUAUCCUCAAGGAAACUCAGGCUUAGAGAGUUUAUGUGAAUUCCAACCAUUACCUCCAUAGCAGGAAAGACCUCUGACCCUCUGACUCUGGGCCAUCUCUCCCCAGAGCCCUAAGCAAGGCUCGGUGGGAGGCUGGUGGCUUCCUCUCCCUCCACUUCUUUCUGUGCCUGUGCCCCUGGCUUCCCUGCUGACCCAGGCAGGGUGUCGAGGAGUGUGUCGGGUGGGCAUACUCACCCACAACCAGACGGAGGGGACGGUGGCCGUUGCGUGGUGGUGUCAGAAUGGAUGGGGCCCACCCCCGAGAAGCUUGUCGCUUUGGUGAAGCUGCCAGGUGCCCAGGUGGGGCCGCUGAGUUCAGUGACUGAAGGCCCCAGGAGUCUGAAAUCCUGGAAUUUCUUCUUUGGGAAGCCCAUGAAGGGGAGCUGAGGAGUGAGUCCCAACUGGCUGGUUUGCAGCUAACAGUGCCUUUCGCUGCCUGGGUGCGGCUGCUGCGGUUUCCUCUGUGUGGAUGCUCUGCUACACCAGGGCUGGCCCCCAGCAAAAAUAGAAAGGGGGGGGUGUUGGCUGCUGGGCGUCCUCUGAGGAGACACUGGUGAUUCUGACAUGGAGCCCAGGCGGAAGGCAGGAGGUGACCCAGGAGGCACAGCAAGAGGGCUCCUGCCACGUUCAGGGCCAGCGGGGAAGACACAGGAGGACUUAACUGCACCAGACUUCCACUGGGAAAGGGCAAACCAAGACCCGGGGGAGCAGAUGCCCAGGGGAGGGGAUUGGGUCUCAUCCAUCAAGUCACCUCCUCCCAAGUCACUUCCUUUCACACAGCUGCCCAGUCCCUUUACCCACCGCUGGAAGCUGACAAGAACUGGCCGAACUUGGCCUCUGGCCAAGGAUACAGGGCAGAGAACUUCCUGCUUAGAAAGUUGGAUUCCUCAGAACUCUGAGGUGAAGGCAGUCUUGAGAGGGAGGCGUCGAGGAGGGACAGUUGGGGUCACCGAGGAAGAUGCCCCCAUCUCUGGAGGAGAAUCACCAGCGCAUGUUGUCGGGCACGGAAAAGUCACCUCGGUUUAGCGCCACAGAGUCCCCUGCAUCCCGGCAACCGGCAGGCAAAGAGAGAGCGCUGACCCCCAGGGGGUGAAGGAUGAGAAGCGAACCGAGGUGUCUACCACGCAGCUGCAGACCAGGAGGCAGGGCCCUGCCUCUGCCAAGGAAGAGUCAGUUGAACAGCUUCUGGGAGUUCCGGCUCGGUGCUGCCAGGCCCUGCCGCGGGGCAGGCUGCCGCAGGUAGGCCGCGAAAGGCUCCUGACAGCUUCUGACAGGUACACCCUACAAUGAGAGGACCCAGCAGAAACGGAGGGAGGAGCCGGAGGUCCAACGGCCAGGAAAAUGUCAUCGGAAAGUAGCCAGCACGGCAAUCCCACAGUGGCCUUCCCUCUGAUGUUCUGGUAUUCUCGGGAGCUGAGAAGCUGGCAUUUUAAAAAAGAUCAAGAUUUUAAAGCUGCAAUUGGAUUGUUUUCCGUUUCAUUUGAAAUCCUCCUCACAUCCCCUCGGACGCUGGAGAGCGUCCAUCCCAGCUGUGGUCUUUGCCCUCCAGCCAGCUGUGCGAUGUCAGUCAAGACACUUAUUAUCUGUUAGAUGGAGAAUUGCAAAAAAUACUGUCGCCAUUUCACUGGUUAUUUCUUCCAAUCAAUGGGAAAGUGUGUGCAGAAAUGUUUUGAAAGGAGAGUAUGAAAACUGGCAAAUUGGCCUCCAUGAUAAAUAAUACUUGAUAUCAUAUAUUAUAAAAUUUAAAAUUUCAAUGAACAAGGAAAUCCCUACUGACAGUA
Microcebus murinus (gray mouse lemur) is the source of this 6474-nucleotide long non-coding RNA. RefSeq lists it as uncharacterized. NCBI's taxonomy places the organism in Eukaryota, Metazoa, Chordata, Mammalia, Primates, Cheirogaleidae. The record is from RefSeq and is a predicted model, not a curated record.